Molecule: unclassified non-coding RNA, 312 nt
Filed under: uncultured fungus
Lineage: Eukaryota; Fungi
Description: sequence contains ITS2
Rfam family: 5.8S ribosomal RNA (bases 1-52)
Source: RNAcentral
AACGCACCUUGCACCCUGGGGUAUUCCCUAGGGUAUGUCUGUCUGAGUGUCAUUUGAACUCUCAAGGUCCCUUUCCUUUGAUCGGGUUUGGGUGCUUUGGAUCCUGGGCGCUUGCUGGCUUUGCCUGCUCGCCUCAAAUCGAAUGUGGUGGUUUUCUCUGAAGCCUAUGUCGGGUUUGACCUGGAGUGAUAGAAGUCUUUCGAGAUCUCUGGGGACGCCUUAGGGCGACCUGCUAUGGUGGGAGGAAUUGCCUAGUUAGACUUAUCUGACGUUUUCGACCUCAGAUCAGGCAGGACUACCCGCUGAACUUAA